AUGGUUGUAUCUAGAACUAAAACAAGUCUAGAUACAACCAUUUUAAGACAAGUAUUUCCGAACAGAGGGAGUACACACAUUGGGUACGCUGGACAGGUCAUAGCAUGUAAAGUUCAUGAUAUGAUUCUCGAUCUAAUCAGACUCAUGUCGGAAGAAGAGAAGUUUCUUAGUGUGGUAGAUAACCUACAGGGCAUGAUCUCAGCAUUGCAGAGCAGGGUUCGUCGAAUGUCCCUUCAGUUGGAUUCUGGAGCUAAUGAAGGCACAGUACAAGCAAGCUUAAGCAUGCCACAUAUUCGAUCUCUUGCUCUUUUUGGCAAGUCUCGUUUCAAGUUCUCUAUGUAUGAACUCAAGUCCAUCCGAGUUCUGAAUAUGCAUUGUGAGGGUGGUCGCAUGGCUGAUAGGAUUGACCUCACACCAAUCUGUAAAUUGUUUCACCUCAGAUAUUUGAGCAUCAAUUCGAAAAAAAAGAAGAAAAAUAUGAGCAUCAGCAGCCCGAAUGAACAGAUACCAAUCCUUAUCCUGCCAACCCUAAUUGGGGACCUAAAACAUUUGGAGACUUUGGAAUUGCAUAUGGAUAUUACUGCCAUGCCAUGUGAUAUCAUUGAUUUGCCUUCCUUGUUGAAUCUACAUGUUCCUAUGGGAACAAGGCUACCUGAUGGAAUUCGUACGAUGAAGGCCCUACGUACUCUGGUGAACUUUGAUGUGCACAUGAACUUGGUGGAUAAUUUAACAGGUCUCGGUGAACUUACAAAUCUCAGGUAUCUUGAAUUUUGCUGCGAUAAUGCUGAACGUACCACCAGCCAACGGGGAAUUCUUAUGGAUACUUUCUGGUGUUCUGUGGCCAAACUUAUCAGGUGCAAUCUGAGACAUCUUUGGUCCAGUAGUAACAUAUUUUGUCCUCCAUGUGUUGAGUUGGCUUCUCUGGUCACUAGCAAUACUGAGAGUAAUCUUGUGGAACUCCAUGUUGCAGCAACUUGGACGUUUCCGAGGGUUCCAAUUUGGACCGGUCAGCACCGAAAGCUCUCAAAGUUGGGAAUUGCUGUUGAGAAGGUGAUGCAGGAGGACAUUGAUUUGCUCGGAAUGUUACCUAAUUUCCUGCACCUGUGGUUGUGGAUACGAAAAUUCCCGGAAAUAAGGAUUACCAUCCAUGGUGGUGAGGUGACAUUCCAGCUUCUCAAAUAUUUCAGAAUCACGUGCUUUGCCCCGUGCCUAACCUUUAUGGCAGGGGCAAUGCCCAAACUCCAAAAGUUGGAUCUGCAAACGCAUGAGCAUGGGGUGGAGCGUCAUGGCCCCUCGACAAUUGAGGGCGUGGAGCACCUGCUGACACUCAGGCAAGUCGACAUUGAUAUUUACUUUGAGGGAGCUGAUACAGAGUCACAAAGAAGGGCGGCGGACGCCGAGGCUAUCUUAAGGAAAGCCAUCCACGUCCAUCCAGGACAUCCGAGCAUCAAGAGCAGGCUUCAAAGUAACAGAAGCUCUUUUAUUCCGGUGGCAGUUCUGAGGGGGGCGAUGAGGUGGAGAGGCAACCGGACGAUGCAGUUGAUCGAUCUGCCGAGGCAGCCACACAUGCUCCAUCCACCGUUGCUGAUGGACGAACAGGGAAUUCACAGCAGGGGCCGGAGCCGCACAAAACCAACAUGCAUGGAAUAG
RNAcentral lists this ribosomal RNA (1650 nucleotides) under Triticum aestivum (bread wheat). Its description in RNAcentral is "partial small subunit ribosomal RNA". The record is from RNAcentral. Lineage: Eukaryota; Viridiplantae; Streptophyta; Magnoliopsida; Poales; Poaceae.